RNAcentral lists this ribosomal RNA (630 nucleotides) under uncultured fungus. RNAcentral's name for it is "eukaryotic LSU rRNA". It matches the Rfam family "Eukaryotic large subunit ribosomal RNA", at positions 24 to 664 of the family's 3401-position model. Lineage: Eukaryota; Fungi. The record is from RNAcentral.
CCCGCUGAACUUAAGCAUAUCAAUAAGGCGAGGAACAGAAACCAACAGGGAUUCCCCUAGUAGUGGCGAAUGAAGCGGGAAAAGCUCAAGUUUGAAAUCUGGUGGGCUCAUCCCAUCAGAGUUGUAAGCUGAAGAGGCAUCGACCGACGUCGUCUGGGCCCAAUUUCCUUGGAACAGGAAGUCAUGGAGGGUGAGAACCCCGUCUGUGGCUCAGAGCCUUCGUCCUUGUGUCGUGUCCUCGAAGAGUCGGGUUGUUUGGGAAUGCAGCUCAAAAUGGGUGGUAAAUUCCAUCUAAGGCUAAAUACUGGCGAGAGACCGAUAGCAAACAAGUAGAGUGAUCGAAAGAUGAAAAGUACUUUGAAAAGAGAGUGAAACAGUACGUGAAAUUGUUGAAAGGGAAGCGUUUGGCAUCAGCCCAUGGUGUUCAUCGAUCAUUCAGGCUUCUGUCUGAUGCACUUGAUGGAUGCCGGGUCAGCGUCGGCUUUGCCCGCCGGAGAAAGGUCUUGGGGAUGUGGCUCCCUUAGGGGUGCGUUAUAACCCUCGAUGUCAUGCGGCGUGGCGGGGCCGAGGUCCACGGUUUAUCCUAGGACGCUGGCGUAAUGGUUCCAAGCGACCCGUCUUGAAACACGG